CCCAUAAUGGUCAAAUUUAUCCUUACAUCACUCGAGAGAUACACAAAUCUCCCAAACUUAUUAUUUUCACUCAAUUAUCUUGGGGUGUGUUCUAAGGUUAGGAGUUUAACAACUAUAAUCCUUACCCUCUCUUAGUUUGGAUAGAUCUUACCCUUACAAGUACACAUAUCAACAAGUAGAGACUCUCUUUAAUUUGAUU
Molecule: long non-coding RNA, 199 nt
Filed under: Olea europaea (common olive)
Lineage: Eukaryota; Viridiplantae; Streptophyta; Magnoliopsida; Lamiales; Oleaceae
Description: long non-coding RNA (OEUR_LNC012765)
Source: RNAcentral